Molecule: ribosomal RNA, 1345 nt
Filed under: uncultured bacterium
Lineage: Bacteria
Description: bacterial SSU rRNA
Rfam family: Bacterial small subunit ribosomal RNA
Source: RNAcentral
GAUGAACGCUGGCGGCGUGCUUAACACAUGCAAGUCGAGCGAAGCGGCUGAAUUGAUUCUUCGGAUGAUUUUCAGUUGACUGAGCGGCGGACGGGUGAGUAACGCGCGGGUGACCUGCCCCAUACCGGGGGAUAACAGCUGGAAACGGCUGCUAAUACCGCAUAAGCGCACAGAGCUGCAUGGCUCGGUGUAAAAAACUCCGGUGGUAUGGGAUGGGCCCGCGUCUGAUUAGGCAGUUGGCGGGGUAACGGCCCACCAAACCGACGAUCAGUAGCCGGCCUGAGAGGGCGACCGGCCACAUUGGGACUGAGACACGGCCCAAACUCCUACGGGAGGCAGCAGUGGGGAAUAUUGCACAAUGGGGGAACCCUGACGCAGCGACGCCGCGUGCGGGACGGAGGCCUUCGGGUCGUAAACCGCUUUCAGCANGGAAGAGUNCAGACUGUACCUGCAGAAGAAGCCCCGGCUAACUACGUGCCAGCAGCCGCGGUAAUACGUAGGGGGCGAGCGUUAUCCGGAUUCAUUGGGCGUAAAGCGCGCGUAGGCGGCCCGGCAGGCCGGGGGUCGAAGCGGGGGGCUCAACCCCCCGAAGCCCCCGGAACCUCCGCGGCUUGGGUCCGGUAGGGGAGGGUGGAACACCCGGUGUAGCGGUGGAAUGCGCAGAUAUCGGGUGGAACACCGGUGGCGAAGGCGGCCCUCUGGGCCGAGACCGACGCUGAGGCGCGAAAGCUGGGGGAGCGAACAGGAUUAGAUACCCUGGUAGUCCCAGCCGUAAACGAUGGACGCUAGGUGUGGGGGGACGAUCCCCCCGUGCCGCAGCCAACGCAUUAAGCGUCCCGCCUGGGGAGUACGGCCGCAAGGCUAAAACUCAAAGGAAUUGACGGGGGCCCGCACAAGCAGCGGAGCAUGUGGCUUAAUUCGAAGCAACGCGAAGAACCUUACCAGGGCUUGACAUAUGGGUGAAGCGGGGGAGACCCCGUGGCCGAGAGGAGCCCAUACAGGUGGUGCAUGGCUGUCGUCAGCUCGUGUCGUGAGAUGUUGGGUUAAGUCCCGCAACGAGCGCAACCCCCGCCGCGUGUUGCCAUCGGGUGAUGCCGGGAACCCACGCGGGACCGCCGCCGUCAAGGCGGAGGAGGGCGGGGACGACGUCAAGUCAUCAUGCCCCUUAUGCCCUGGGCUGCACACGUGCUACAAUGGCCGGUACAGAGGGAUGCCACCCCGCGAGGGGGAGCGGAUCCCGGAAAGCCGGCCCCAGUUCGGAUUGGGGGCUGCAACCCGCCCCCAUGAAGUCGGAGUUGCUAGUAAUCGCGGAUCAGCAUGCCGCGGUGAAUGCGUUCCCGGGCCU